This 1148-nucleotide ribosomal RNA is filed under the name human gut metagenome. Its description in RNAcentral is "bacterial LSU rRNA". It matches the Rfam family "Bacterial large subunit ribosomal RNA", at positions 1101 to 2322 of the family's 2925-position model. The record is from RNAcentral.
UUGGCUCAGAAGCAGCCACUCAUUUAAAGAGUGCGUAAUAGCUCACUGGUCGAGUGAUUCUGCGCCGAAAAUUUAACGGGGCUAAACCAUACACCGAAGCUUGGGAAUAUAUGGUCGCAAGAUUGUAUGUUGGUAGGAGAGCGUCGUAUACGGGGUGAAGUCAUAGCGAAAGCGGUGGUGGACUGUAUACGAGUGAGAAUGCCGGAAUGAGUAGCGAGAAUUAUGUGAGAAUCAUAAUGGCCGAAAGACUGAGGUUUUAGAAGGAAGGUUCGUCCGCUUCUAGUUAGCCGGGGGCUAAGGCGAGGCCGAGAGGCGUAGUCGAUGCACAUACGGUUGAGAUUCCGUAGCCACCUUAAAUUUAAACUGAGGGACACAUCGAAAGGGCAUAACCCGGGCGUUGGUUGACCCGGGCGUAAGGGAACGAAGAUUAGUAGGGAAGUAUGCUUGGACGGUGGCGAGAAAAGCUCAGUGUAUAUCAUUAGGGUGCCCGUACUGCAAACCGACACAGGUAGUCAGGAAGAGAAUUCUAAGGCCAACGGGAGAAGGAUUGUUAAGGAACUCGGCAAAUUGGCCCCGUAACUUCGGAAUAAGGGGUGCUCACGAGAGUGAGCCGCAGUGAAUAGGUCCAGGCAACUGUUUAUCAAAAACACAGCUCUCUGCUAAAUCGUAAGAUGACGUAUAGGGGGUGACACCUGCCCGGUGCUGGAAGGUUAAGAGGAGGGGUGCAAGCUCCGAAUUGAAGCCCCAGUAAACGGCGGCCGUAACUAUAACGGUCCUAAGGUAGCGAAAUUCCUUGUCGGGUAAGUUCCGACCCGCACGAAUGGUGUAAUGAUCUGGACACUGUCUCAACAAUCCACCCGGCGAAAUUGUAGUACCGGUGAAGAUGCCGGUUACCCGCGGCAAGACGGAAAGACCCCAUGGAGCUUUACUGCAGCUUGAUAUUGGGUUUCGGUAUUCUAUUUACAGGAUAGGCGGGAGACAGAGAAACCGGGACGCCAGUUCCGGCGGAGUCGUCCUUGGGAUACCGCUAUUAGAGUAUUGGAAUUCUAACCUGCGGCCUUGAAUCAGGUCGGGGGACAUUGUCAGGUGGGCAGUUUGACUGGGGCGGUCGCCUCCAAAAGAGUAACGGAGGCGUUCAAAGGUUCACU